This 225-nucleotide unclassified non-coding RNA is filed under the name Hevea brasiliensis (rubber tree). Lineage: Eukaryota; Viridiplantae; Streptophyta; Magnoliopsida; Malpighiales; Euphorbiaceae. The record is from RNAcentral.
GCAAAUUCAGGUUUUUGUCGACAGCACCGUUAGGGUUUAGAGCUCGACGAUUCUUGUUGGCUUUCAUGACUCUCAGCUUUUCUGUUUGUCUCACCAUUUGGUUCAAUAAUUGGUGGUUUCUUCCGUUCAAUAAGCAUAUAACAUGCAAAGCCAAGUAAUCAGUCAACUGUUAGUUUCUCCAAUUUAACCAAAAUAAAAUUUGUCCUCAUUCUCCAUGGCUGCUUG